This is a long non-coding RNA of Gambusia affinis (western mosquitofish), 676 nucleotides long. RefSeq lists it as uncharacterized. NCBI's taxonomy places the organism in Eukaryota, Metazoa, Chordata, Actinopteri, Cyprinodontiformes, Poeciliidae. The record is from RefSeq and is a predicted model, not a curated record. The transcript has 2 exons.
GUAGUUCUUUAUACCAUGUUGAUCUCUUGUUCUUCCAGCUCGUCUUACGGUUCUGAAGAUGAAGAUCUCCACUACGCUGUCACUGAAAGAGAAUAAAGAUGAAAUUGAGAAAGCGAUUAAAGAUGAACUGAUCAGACGAGGGCUGCCUCCAGACAUCAAGGUCCGCCUGCUGAGCGACGGUUCAGUGCAGGUUAAAGAAACAGCUGCCCCCUAGUGGCUAAAAAUGAGAAUGACUCUGAUCCAUGCAGAGGAAUAUUACUGGGUUUAUCUGGUUUUACUUCUUGUACUUUUUAAUAAAUCUGGGGACUUAUGGUUGUUUUAGUUAGUGUGGGAAUACAAGUUUGAUUUGAGUGAUUUUUUAAGUGAUGUUAAACAGAACUUAGUCUUUCAUUUAUGGGUUAAUCCGUUGUAGUUAAUUUAGUAGGUUUUCAUCCACUUUAUUUUUAAAUUUGUAUUGAUCUUAAACUGAUUAUGUUAUUCAAUUUCUUUUAUGAACAUUAUAUGGUAUGUGUAUUAAUUGUUUGUAAUCAAACUUCUGUUUAACUCUGACAUGUGGGGUCAUCAAGGGGUCAUCGAGGGGUCAAGGAGAGCACUGUAUGGUCUCAGAAACCAGUCUGAGGUUGAUUAGGUUGGUAGGGAGGACAACUUAGUGGAACGCUCCAGUUUACUGAUAAAC